AUUGAACGCUGGCGGCAGGCCUAACACAUGCAAGUCGAGCGGAUGAAGGGAGCUUGCUCCUGGAUUCAGCGGCGGACGGGUGAGUAAUGCCUAGGAAUCUGCCUGGUAGUGGGGGAUAACGUCCGGAAACGGGCGCUAAUACCGCAUACGUCCUGAGGGAGAAAGUGGGGGAUCUUCGGACCUCACGCUAUCAGAUGAGCCUAGAUCGGAUUAGCUAGUUGGUGGGGUAAAGGCCUACCAAGGCGACGAUCCGUAACUGGUCUGAGAGGAUGAUCAGUCACACUGGAACUGAGACACGGUCCAGACUCCUACGGGAGGCAGCAGUGGGGAAUAUUGGACAAUGGGCGAAAGCCUGAUCCAGCCAUGCCGCGUGCGUGAAGAAGGUCUUCGGAUUGUAAAGCACUUUAAGUUGGGAGGAAGGGCAGUAAGUUAAUACCUUGCUGUUUUGACGUUACCAACAGAAUAAGCACCGGCUAACUUCGUG
This 484-nucleotide ribosomal RNA is filed under the name uncultured bacterium. Its description in RNAcentral is "partial 16S ribosomal RNA". It matches the Rfam family "Bacterial small subunit ribosomal RNA", at positions 30 to 507 of the family's 1533-position model. The record is from RNAcentral.